UAGGGAAUCUUCGGCAAUGGACGAAAGUCUGACCGAGCAACGCCGCGUGAGUGAAGAAGGUUUUCGGAUCGUAAAACUCUGUUGUUAGAGAAGAACAAGGACGUUAGUAACUGAACGUCCCCUGACGGUAUCUAACCAGAAAGCCACGGCUAACUACGUGCCAGCAGCCGCGGUAAUACGUAGUUGGCAAGCGUUGUCCGGAUUUAUUGGGCGUAAAGCGAGCGCAGGCGGUUUCUUAAGUCUGAUGUGAAAGCCCCCGGCUCAACCGGGGAGGGUCAUUGGAAACUGGGAGACUUGAGUGCAGAAGAGGAGGGUGGAAUUCCAUGUGUAGCGGUGAAAUGCGUAGAUAUAUGGAGGAACACCGGUGGCGAAGGCGGCUCUCUGGUCUGUAACUGACGCUGAGGCUCGAAAGCGUGGGGAGCAAAAAGG
This 429-nucleotide ribosomal RNA is filed under the name Gemmatimonadota bacterium. Its description in RNAcentral is "Gemmatimonadetes bacterium partial 16S ribosomal RNA". It matches the Rfam family "Bacterial small subunit ribosomal RNA", at positions 355 to 776 of the family's 1533-position model. The record is from RNAcentral. Lineage: Bacteria; Pseudomonadati; Gemmatimonadota.